ACACAUUGCUGGACGUAGUAAUACUAACGUAUUUUAUUCAAACAAAGGUUACAACAUUGUUGGGAUCAGCAGUCUUAUAUUCUACGUUUCAAGAAGUAUAAUUGAAUGUGCAUGUCAAUGUGCAAUCGAGGAAGGAUGCCGGACUUCAAGUUUUGACAACUCAGCACAAAAGUGCUACCUUUAUGUAACAGAUGUGUGUCCCGAAAUAAAAGCUUCACAGACAAGCUCUGUUUUAAAUAUUGGAAAAACAGAUGUUGAGUGCAUUGAUCCUUGGAAGGCUUUCAAAACCAAUUGUUAUUAUUUUGGGACGAAUUCCCUGUCAAUGAAUGACGCUCAGAAUUUUUGUGAAGCAAUGAAUGGGAAAUUAGUGAAGAUAGACAAUUCAAAUGAAAACGAAUGGAUUAAAUCAAUGGUACAAACAUUGGGGACACCUUUUAAUUAUUGUAUUGGUCUGCAGAAAGUCAAUAGUAAAUGGAGAUGGCUAUCUGACAAUUCUAUACCUGGUUUUACUAAUUGGAAUACUGGACAACCAUCAGGAGACGGAAGUUGUGUACGUCUUACUAACAACUUUGCUUGGAAUGAUAAUAGAUGUGGAAUUACAGCUAAAUAUAUUUGUGAAAAAUGUUAGUUUUGAUACAAAGACUAUGAUUAAUACACUGAGUGGCAAUAGCAAAGUUUAAUACAAAAAUUAAAAUUAAUAUAUCGAAUGUAAAUAGGAAAAGUUGAUACAAAAACUAAGAAUAAUAAACUGAGUGUCAACAGAAAAGCAACAUCAUUAUUUUUCCAUCUAGAAAGUUUUUACCAACAAAUCGUCUCUGAGAAUAGACUAAUAGAUGCAAUAUUUAAACCAACAGAUCUUCUUUUAUAUGACAGGUGAUUUCCAUUCGUUUGAUGUGUUUUCAGCUUUUGUUUUUGCCAUUUGUAAAGAGAAUUCAAAUUUAGAUUUUCCUUGGAGUUCGGUAUUUUUGUUAUUUCACUUUUGACUGUUGACCAAUAGUUUUGUAUGAUGAGCAGGUUGAAUGUUUCUAGCUAUUUUUAGAAACUAACGUUGUCAUAAUCCCAUUUCCAACAAACACAACCUGCACGUUGGAUAAACAUUUCUACCAUAAUGAACACUUCUAACAAUUAAAAUGAGAAAAAAAAUAAUAUGACAAACAGCAACAAACGACAAUCACUAAAGUAAAGGAUCCUGAUUGAAGAGAGGCACACAUAUAGAAUGUAGAGGUGUUAAAUAUGUUUGUUAGCGCUCAAUCUCACUAACCUGAAACACUGGUGUAACACCAGACUGUAAAAAUAAGUUGGAAAUGGCUAAUCUUCAGAUUGGAAAACACACAAAAGACCGAUUUAACAGUACUGACAGUUACUGAGAUCUAGUUCAAGGCUAAUUGCAACUAAAUUAUGUUCUCCCAGACUUAUGUAUCAAUGAGUACCGAUAAAAUAAUAUUCAAAGAUUUUACUAUGGUUGUAAAUAGAUAACCUUUUAAAAUAAGUUUAUUCAAAGUACUGAUGAGGUUACAGGAACAGUAAGAACUAUUUCGCAUUUCCAUUGACAAGGGGCUCAAAUGAUGUUGUU
Long non-coding RNA from Mytilus californianus (California mussel), 1573 nucleotides. RefSeq lists it as uncharacterized. NCBI's taxonomy places the organism in Eukaryota, Metazoa, Mollusca, Bivalvia, Mytilida, Mytilidae. The transcript is spliced from 4 exons. The record is from RefSeq and is a predicted model, not a curated record.